Long non-coding RNA from Anneissia japonica, 245 nucleotides. RefSeq lists it as uncharacterized. The record is from RefSeq and is a predicted model, not a curated record. NCBI's taxonomy places the organism in Eukaryota, Metazoa, Echinodermata, Crinoidea, Comatulida, Comatulidae. The transcript is spliced from 3 exons.
AUGCAUGAGCUGCUCCAGGAAAGUGUAGAGAAACAUCCUGACAGAGAAAUGCACGUGUUUGUCGAUGACAAUGAACGAAUCACCUUUACAGAGUAUAAAAGUAAGGUUAUUGAUCUUGCGGCUGGAUUUUUAAAUCUUGGGUUUUGUAAAGGAGACUGUAUAGCUGUCCUGGGCUAUAACCACAUGGAAUGGCCUUUGAUUGCCGGAGCAUCCCAAGCCAUUGGAGUAAUUAUUGUGUGCUUACA